This 570-nucleotide ribosomal RNA is filed under the name Dryophytes cinereus (green tree frog). Its description in RNAcentral is "partial 16S ribosomal RNA". It matches the Rfam family "Bacterial large subunit ribosomal RNA", at positions 1829 to 2597 of the family's 2925-position model. The record is from RNAcentral. Lineage: Eukaryota; Metazoa; Chordata; Amphibia; Anura; Hylidae.
CGCCUCUUGACAAAAUAUAAGAGGUCCAGCCUGCCCAGUGACUUUGUUCAACGGCCGCGGUAUCCUAACCGUGCGAAGGUAGCGUAAUCACUUGUUCUUUAAAUGAGGACCAGUAUGAAUGGCAUCACGAAGGUUACACUGUCUCCUUUUUCCAAUCAGUGAAACUAAUCUCCCCGUGAAGAAGCGGGGAUAAAUCUAUAAGACGAGAAGACCCUAUGGAGCUUUAAACUAAAUAACACUUGCUUUCACACAAUCUGCCUCCAGAGCAACUUACACUUACUUUAGCCUCCUGAUUAUUAGUUUUAGGUUGGGGUGACCGCGGAGUAAAAAAUAACCUCCACAUUGAAUGGGAAAAUUCCCCUGAGCCGUGAACUACAACUCUAAGCACCAAUAAAUUGACAUCAAUUGACCCAAUAUAUUGAUCAACGAACCAAGUUACCCUAGGGAUAACAGCGCAAUCCGCUUUAAGAGCCCCUAUUGACAAGCGGGUUUACGACCUCGAUGUUGGAUCAGGGUAUCCCAGUGGUGCAGCCGCUACUAAAGGUUCGUUUGUUCAACGAUUAAAACCCU